RNAcentral lists this transfer RNA (72 nucleotides) under Bos taurus (domestic cattle). It matches the Rfam family "tRNA". From Rfam's summary of the family: Transfer RNA (tRNA) molecules are approximately 80 nucleotides in length. Their secondary structure includes four short double-helical elements and three loops (D, anti-codon, and T loops). RNAcentral also lists the same sequence under 1 other name. Lineage: Eukaryota; Metazoa; Chordata; Mammalia; Artiodactyla; Bovidae. The record is from Rfam by way of RNAcentral.
UCCCUGGUGGCUCAGAGGAUAAAGCAUCUGCCUGCAAAGCAGGAGACCCAAGUUCAAUCGCUGGUUUGGAAA